UACGGAGGAUGCGAGCGUUAUCCGGAUUUAUUGGGUUUAAAGGGUGCGUAGGCGGCGAUGCAAGUCAGAAGUGAAAGCCCGGGGCUCAACUCCGGGACUGCUUUUGAAACUGUGUUGCUAGAUUGCAGGAGAGGUAAGUGGAAUUCCUAGUGUAGCGGUGAAAUGCGUAGAUAUUAGGAGGAACACCAGUGGCGAAGGCGGCUUACUGGACUGUAAAUGACGCUGAGGCUCGAAAGCGUGGGGAGCAAACAGG
Molecule: ribosomal RNA, 253 nt
Filed under: uncultured bacterium
Lineage: Bacteria
Description: partial 16S ribosomal RNA
Rfam family: Bacterial small subunit ribosomal RNA
Source: RNAcentral